GCUUGAGUGGUCUAGUGGUAUGAUUCUCGCUUAGGGCUUACUCUAAGUUUAAAUUGCGAGAGGUCCCGCGUUCGAAUCGCGGCCCAAGCC
RNAcentral lists this transfer RNA (90 nucleotides) under Imshaugia aleurites. Its description in RNAcentral is "tRNA-Pro". Lineage: Eukaryota; Fungi; Ascomycota; Lecanoromycetes; Lecanorales; Parmeliaceae. The record is from RNAcentral.